RNAcentral lists this long non-coding RNA (931 nucleotides) under Calidris pugnax (ruff). RNAcentral describes it as "lncRNA (ENSCPUG00000003939.1)". The record is from RNAcentral. Lineage: Eukaryota; Metazoa; Chordata; Aves; Charadriiformes; Scolopacidae.
UGCGCUGAGCAUGAGAGUGUGGGGAGGAACGCUAGUACUCAAGGUACAACCAGGAGGACUUAAUCGGGUCUUUCCAGCAGCUAUCAAAAAAAAAAAGAAGAUGUCUCAUCUCUUUCCUGUUUUGAAAAGGAGGAGCAUGAGAGCUCGGUGUGAAACGUUGAGUGGUGUCGGGGGCAAUCACAGCCUCAGUCACCGAGAGAGUUGCCCACACCCAGGACUGUGGCAAUAAACUGCUGACUACAACUAAUAUUAUAUAAAUUCCUCCCCGGGUGCUGUAGACACAUGGAUGGCUUUGCAUAUCUGGAGGACUCAUUGGGCGAUGACAUAUUUCCUCUUUGCGUUGACUCAUGAGCUGCUCCUCCUGGUUGCUAUGAAAGUUGGAAGCACUUUACCGGUGCCUGCUGCAAGUAUGUUUCAUGAAAAGAGAGAAAGUCUCAAUAUUCUUCCUGGAUUUGCUGGUUUGACCCUUUCACUUUUGCAAUCGAUGCUGUCAAGAUUUUCCUUUGUACAUAUCUGAUCGGUUCGUGCCAGGUUUGGCUCCGUGCCUUUUCAGACGAGAGCCCCUGUGAUGAGGACAAGGUGGUCAGGCUCUGGGUGCAGCAACGGAGACAGGAGGAGAUGCUGGGGUGGGGAUGGCUCCUACUCGACUACGGCAUGGGAUCUGUAGCAAAUACCUGGGGAAGACAUUGUUAGAGGUGUAUUUUUUUUUUUUUUCUGGAGAGGUAGGUAUUCCCUGGAUGUGCUGCGGCAGAUCCUCAGCUUCCAGAUAUCAGUAUAAAAGCAUUCAUUUUAGUGGAGCUGCUGUGCCUGCUGAUGGUCAGGUCCUGUGAUGUUGCUCAUUAGAAAGGUUUUGGGUAAGGAGCCAAGAGAUGAAGGGAGGCACGGCUACAUUUUAAAUAAAUAGGUAAUAAGAUUGUAUACCCUCUAUUCU